UCUUCUAUUAUAAUAUUUAUAAUUGUAAAUAUUAUAGUAUAAUAUUUAUAUUAUAGGUGCACCUGCAUUUUCUUCCAAAUUACAGAUGCACCUUCAUUUUCUUCCUCUUUCUCCCUCAUUUUCCCCUUUUCCCUCUCCUUUCUCUGCUAUUUAUUCACCAUUUCCCUCUUCUUUAUCAGUGCAGCACCUCAGCAAAUCACCACCUGGUCACAAUGUUUACCCUCGUGGUCUUGGCAUAAAAGAGCUGAAAAUUUCCAGCAUGGCUAUUAUGAUUUAGAGUAUCACCCUGGUCCUCUCUCAUGGAUGAAUAGCUUCAAACUUGUGCCUUUCUGCUGCCUCAGUUUGCUGCACAGAGCAGGAAUUCAGCGUUGUGGGGAACUUCAUUCCUGCUUUUCCUCCCAAUUUGCACCUACAGCUCACAUCCAUCCCAUAUUUCACAAACUCUCCUGCAGAGGUGAAGCUCCUAAAGCACACCUCUGGGGCUGCAGCAUUCCCAGAGUGCCCAAAUCACACUGGACAACAACUCCAGAGCUUUUUCCUCCCAGCACCUCCUCACAGGAGCUUCUCUGCAGAGAUGGAGAGUCCUGCCCAAAGCACUCAGGCUAACACUGCAAAUAAACUCGUGUGUAAGGAGGAGGGAAAUGACUGACAGGGAAUUAAAGUAAAAUAUUUUCUGAUUAUUACCUGCCCUGAGUUCCCAAAAUCAAAGCAGAAAACACUUCCAUUCCAAAGUAGCUGUAAAGCUGCAUUAGUCCAAGAAAUCUGCUGUCUGAAUAGUUGUUUUCUCCUGGGGAUUUGUUGAAUUCACUGUGCUGAGUACAUUUUUAUUUGUUGGUAACUUUCCUCACAGUGUAGCUCUAUUUCAUUUUGGCCUCUAUCAAGUAUAACUUCUGACAGAGAAUCGGUGAAUAAAUGCUUGAAAUCUAAGUGAGAAGACAGGAAAAUCUGUAAUCUGAAGCAUUUUACCUUUACAAAUGAAAUGAUCUGACAGCCACUCACCUCAUACCUGGCCUGCCUGGCUAACUCCUAUAGCAACAAUAGUUUAUGAGCACAACUGCAUCAAUCUAAGCUGGAAAAAAAAAGGGAAGGAACUUUGGGCUCAGAGCCCGAGCACUGGGAUGAGAAUUCCCUCUUUCUCCCUAGGUCUUCAGUGGCAGGAUGAGUCCUGCACUGAACUCCCCAAUUCUGAUUCUCCUGGCUGAGAGUCCUGAUGCACUCCCCAGUUCUAAAAAAUCAAAGUUCAUUUUUCUCACUCUGACAGAGGGAGAAAGAGCUGAAAAAAAAAUCAGGCUAAGUGCAGAGCUGUCAUUCAUGAAAAUUCAGGGAAAGCUUAACUUAGAGAGGUGUUGUUCUUAGGGCCAAGAUUAGGAUUGUUGUUCCCUAAGCAAAUUCAUUCAUGAUUUGGCUUUCCUGAGCACUCCCUGCAGCCAUUUCAAAUGAUCUGACAGCCACUCACCUCAUACCUGGCCUGCCUGGCUAACUCCUAUGGCAGCAAUAUUUUAUGAGCACAACUGCGUCAAUCUAAGCUGGGGAAGGAACUUUGGGCUCAGGGCUUGAGCCCUGGAAUGAGAAUUCCCUCCUUUUUCCCUAGAUCUUCAGUGGCAGGAUGAGUCCUGCACCGAACUCCCCAAUUCUGAUUCUCCUGGCUGAGAGUCCUGCUGCACUCCCCAAUUCUAAAAAUUCAUUUUUCGCACUCUGACAGAGGCAGAAAGAGCUGAAAAACAAUUAGUGUAAAUGCAGAGCUGUCAUGAAUGCCAGGAAAAGACAUCACUGACAGCCUCAGAGAGCUGCUGUUCUCGGGGCCAGGAUUAAGAUUUUUGUUCCCUAAGCAAAUUCACUUCAUGGUUUGGCUCUCCUGAGCACUCCCUGCAGCUCUCCCAGCACCAUUCCCACCUCCAGGCUGCCCAGCCCAGGCAGGAACGAAACCCUGGGGGCUGCUCAGCCCCUGGGCAAGGAGAGCAAAGUGUGCCUGGGGAGCAGGGUCCUCUCUGCCAGUCGGAUUUGCAUCCAUCCAAACAUCCCAGCAGGAAUCCAGAGCUGCACCUCGGGAGUUCAGGUGAGAAUAAAGAAAGCUGUUACAUUCAGACCAUUAUUGUUCAUGCUGCUUUGUGAAUUUAUUUCUUUAAAUUUUCCACUUGUGCUCCUGCCGAGAGAGAUCUAUUAGACAGAAAGCAGCAAGAGUAAAUCUUUAUCAUUUUGUUUCAAACUAUAAAAUAAUUUACAUCACAUAUUUUACUUACUUUUGUCUUUUUUGUUUGUUUUUUUUUUGAAACCACAAACAUUCCAGCAUCACACUGUAGGAAUAAGAAUAACAAUAGAAAGCAUAACCUUUUGCAUAGUAUUAAAUGAACAGACAGAGUAAGUUCUUUAUUUACAAUUAUUGUCUAGAUAAAAAAAUUCAUAAAAACAGAUGAAUGAACAUAUAUUAAUAACCCCUAGUGGGAUGGAUUGCCAAUGUACCACUGUAUUGUUGUCCACAAAUCUCAUGCUGCUAAGUACAGUACGUAGAGAGCGAGCAUUUAUAUAUUGCAGGGAAUUUUAACAAACUGAUCAUUUUGGUUUUUGAUCCAUUGUUCCCAUCACAGAGAGGUCAAGCAAUAAAAGAAAGGAAUUGUGAUGCACGACUUGUAGUUGAAAGGUCAUAGCUAUUCUGCUUUAAAAAAAAAAAAAAAAGUCUAUCAUUUAUCAUAUACAUAAAGCACAGUCUCUGCUCACAAAAGCCCAAGUUUUCUAUGCAUCUCAGUUUAUAUAUGUUUUACUAUAUAUACACAGAAUGCAGUGUUCAUUUUCUUAUAACAGUUUUCAAGUCUGCGAAUGGUACCUUAGGGAGGGGUACUCCUACAGGAAAAAAUUCCAAAAUAAUUAAAAAAAAAAAAAACAAAACCCAAAAACGGAACCGAGAAAAAACAUGAAGAGUGUCGGGAAACAAAAAGGCAAACAGUCAGUGUGUUAAGAUGCUGAAAAGAAACUGUUCCAGUAUUAAUAGCUUCUGUAGAUGUUCAAGUCCAAAGCUAGAGGCUUCCCUGUAAAUACAGAUACCACUUUUGUCUUCUGGCCCCAGGGAGCCCAUGGGUGGUGGAGUCCCCACAACAGAGCACCUUCCUGCCUGGGCUGGGGCACGGCUGGGGCUGCUGCAGGUGCCACCGCUGCCCGGGCACCCUGCCUGCCCCUGGGGCUGGGCACCGGGCACAGCCAGCAGAGCUCCCAGCCCCGAGUCCCGCAGCUGGCAAGGGAAGCUGCUCAGAGCUUUACCUGGCUGAGGGUCCUGAUGCACCCUGAAAACAUCAGUCUGCAGUUUGGCCAUGAGUCUAAGCUUGGUUUGGAGAGUUCUGGCUUGGUUAAAAGCUGCUGGGACUGCAGAGAUGCACCACUGUUAUGGAGCCAACCAGAAAAAAACACCUUAACAACUCAACGGAUCGAGAUGGUUGGUUGGAGGGUGUUUUUGUUCCAACAACGCCUGGCAUAAUCGAUUGUGGAAUUCCAAAUGUCUUUUUGCACUGUACAGUUAUGGAAAAAAUCAUAUGCUGAAAAGUCUCCAAGCAAACUUUAUAUUAAAUACAAAAAUUAGUUAUGAAAAAUCUGUGAUCCACAAAGUGCUUAGCAUUCAAGUGGUUGACAUAGCAAUUGUAUAAGCUCAUAAUUUUUUACUUUUCUAGGGCUGUUACCAUCUUGAAAAAUGUUUUUCGCCUUCCAUUCUGCAGGUUUUCAAAGCAGCUUUCUUGGGAGAAAGCUGAAGGUAAAAUAAUGUUAUUACUGUGUUACUGCAGGAACACAAGCUUGAUUUAAAAAAAAUCACACAAAGCACAUCUCAAUACACAAUUAAUAAAGAUUUGUUCAGUCCUAAUAGUGCAGAAAUUAUAUUUUUCUUUUAAAAAGAAAUCAAUGCAACAACCUACAGUGAUUUUAAUCCAAAAUGCCAACAGCCCAUACUUUGCAAAUAAUAAGGAAAUAAAUGCCUAAAGUACUAAUUGAAAAGGAUUAACACAGUAUAUCACAAGAUUUUAACAUUUCUUUUA
Long non-coding RNA from Melospiza georgiana, 4016 nucleotides. RefSeq lists it as uncharacterized. Lineage: Eukaryota; Metazoa; Chordata; Aves; Passeriformes; Passerellidae. The transcript has 2 exons. The record is from RefSeq and is a predicted model, not a curated record.